CCUACGGGUGGCAGCAGUGGGGAAUAUUGGACAAUGGGGGCAACCCUGAUCCAGCCAUGCCGCGUGUGUGAAGAAGGCCCUCGGGUUGUAAAGCACUUUCAGUGAGGAAGAACGCCUGGUGGUUAAUACCCAUCAGGAAAGACAUCACUCACAGAAGAAGCACCGGCUAACUCCGUGCCAGCAGCCGCGGUAAUACGGAGGGUGCGAGCGUUAAUCGGAAUUACUGGGCGUAAAGCGCGCGUAGGUGGCUUGAUAAGCCGGUUGUGAAAGCCCCGGGCUCAACCUGGGAACGGCAUCCGGAACUGUCAAGCUAGAGUGCAGGAGAGGAAGGUAGAAUUCCCGGUGUAGCGGUGAAAUGCGUAGAGAUCGGGAGGAAUACCAGUGGCGAAGGCGGCCUUCUGGACUGACACUGACACUGAGGUGCGAAAGCGUGGGUAGCAAACAGAAUUAGAUACCCUGGUAGUC
Molecule: ribosomal RNA, 465 nt
Filed under: Vreelandella stevensii
Lineage: Bacteria; Pseudomonadati; Pseudomonadota; Gammaproteobacteria; Oceanospirillales; Halomonadaceae
Description: partial 16S ribosomal RNA
Rfam family: Bacterial small subunit ribosomal RNA
Source: RNAcentral